AUGAACGCUGGCGGCGUGCCUAAUACAUGCAAGUCGAGCGAACGGACGAGAAGCUUGCUUCUCUGAUGUUAGCGGCGGACGGGUGAGUAACACGUGGAUAACCUACCUAUAAGACUGGGAUAACUUCGGGAAACCGGAGCUAAUACCGGAUAAUAUUUUGAACCGCAUGGUUCAAAAGUGAAAGACGGUCUUGCUGUCACUUAUAGAUGGAUCCGCGCUGCAUUAGCUAGUUGGUAAGGUAACGGCUUACCAAGGCAACGAUGCAUAGCCGACCUGAGAGGGUGAUCGGCCACACUGGAACUGAGACACGGUCCAGACUCCUACGGGAGGCAGCAGUAGGGAAUCUUCCGCAAUGGGCGAAAGCCUGACGGAGCAACGCCGCGUGAGUGAUGAAGGUCUUCGGAUCGUAAAACUCUGUUAUUAGGGAAGAACAUAUGUGUAAGUAACUGUGCACAUCUUGACGGUACCUAAUCAGAAAGCCACGGCUAACUACGUGCCAGCAGCCGCGGUAAUACGUAGGUGGCAAGCGUUAUCCGGAAUUAUUGGGCGUAAAGCGCGCGUAGGCGGUUUUUUAAGUCUGAUGUGAAAGCCCACGGCUCAACCGUGGAGGGUCAUUGGAAACUGGAAAACUUGAGUGCAGAAGAGGAAAGUGGAAUUCCAUGUGUAGCGGUGAAAUGCGCAGAGAUAUGGAGGAACACCAGUGGCGAAGGCGACUUUCUGGUCUGUAACUGACGCUGAUGUGCGAAAGCGUGGGGAUCAAACAGGAUUAGAUACCCUGGUAGUCCACGCCGUAAACGAUGAGUGCUAAGUGUUAGGGGGUUUCCGCCCCUUAGUGCUGCAGCUAACGCAUUAAGCACUCCGCCUGGGGAGUACGACCGCAAGGUUGAAACUCAAAGGAAUUGACGGGGACCCGCACAAGCGGUGGAGCAUGUGGUUUAAUUCGAAGCAACGCGAAGAACCUUACCAAAUCUUGACAUCCUUUGACAACUCUAGAGAUAGAGCCUUCCCCUUCGGGGGACAAAGUGACAGGUGGUGCAUGGUUGUCGUCAGCUCGUGUCGUGAGAUGUUGGGUUAAGUCCCGCAACGAGCGCAACCCUUAAGCUUAGUUGCCAUCAUUAAGUUGGGCACUCUAAGUUGACUGCCGGUGACAAACCGGAGGAAGGUGGGGAUGACGUCAAAUCAUCAUGCCCCUUAUGAUUUGGGCUACACACGUGCUACAAUGGACAAUACAAAGGGCAGCGAAACCGCGAGGUCAAGCAAAUCCCAUAAAGUUGUUCUCAGUUCGGAUUGUAGUCUGCAACUCGACUACAUGAAGCUGGAAUCGCUAGUAAUCGUAGAUCAGCAUGCUACGGUGAAUACGUUCCCGGGUCUUGUACACACCGCCCGUCACACCACGAGAGUUUGUAACACCCGAAGCCGGUGGAGUAACCUUUUAGGAGCUAGCCGUCGAAGGUGGGACAAAUGAUUGGGGUGAAGUCGUAACAAGGUAGCCGUAUCGGAAGGUGCGGCUGGAUCACCUCCUUUCU
Molecule: ribosomal RNA, 1526 nt
Filed under: Staphylococcus aureus
Lineage: Bacteria; Bacillati; Bacillota; Bacilli; Caryophanales; Staphylococcaceae
Description: partial 16S ribosomal RNA
Rfam family: Bacterial small subunit ribosomal RNA
Source: RNAcentral